AUUCUAGAGUUUGAUCAUGGCUCAGAUUGAACGCUGGCGGCAGGCCUAACACAUGCAAGUCGAACGGUAGCACAGAGAGCUUGCUCUCGGGUGACGAGUGGCGGACGGGUGAGUAAUGUCUGGGAAACUGCCUGAUGGAGGGGGAUAACUACUGGAAACGGUAGCUAAUACCGCAUAACGUCGCAAGACCAAAGAGGGGGACCUUCGGGCCUCUUGCCAUCAGAUGUGCCCAGAUGGGAUUAGCUAGUAGGUGGGGUAACGGCUCACCUAGGCGACGAUCCCUAGCUGGUCUGAGAGGAUGACCAGCCACACUGGAACUGAGACACGGUCCAGACUCCUACGGGAGGCAGCAGUGGGGAAUAUUGCACAAUGGGCGCAAGCCUGAUGCAGCCAUGCCGCGUGUAUGAAGAAGGCCUUCGGGUUGUAAAGUACUUUCAGCGGGGAGGAAGGCGAUAAGGUUAAUAACCUUGUCGAUUGACGUUACCCGCAGAAGAAGCACCGGCUAACUCCGUGCCAGCAG
Molecule: ribosomal RNA, 520 nt
Filed under: Klebsiella oxytoca
Lineage: Bacteria; Pseudomonadati; Pseudomonadota; Gammaproteobacteria; Enterobacterales; Enterobacteriaceae
Description: bacterial SSU rRNA
Rfam family: Bacterial small subunit ribosomal RNA
Source: RNAcentral